This 275-nucleotide ribosomal RNA is filed under the name uncultured Ascomycota. Its description in RNAcentral is "partial 18S ribosomal RNA". It matches the Rfam family "Eukaryotic small subunit ribosomal RNA", at positions 548 to 829 of the family's 1831-position model. Lineage: Eukaryota; Fungi; Ascomycota. The record is from RNAcentral.
UUGGAGGGCAAGUCUGGUGCCAGCAGCCGCGGUAAUUCCAGCUCCAAUAGCGUAUAUUAAAGUUGUUGAGGUUAAAAAGCUCGUAGUUGAACCUUGGGCCUAGCCGGCCGGUCCGCCUCACCGCGUGCACUGGCUCGGCUGGGUCUUUCCUUCUGGAGAACCGCAUGCCCUUCACUGGGUGUGCCGGGGAACCAGGACCUUUACUCUGAACAAAUUAGAUCGCUUAAAGAAGGCCUAUGCCCGAAUACAUUAGCAUGGAAUAAUAGAAUAGGACG